AGUUCUAUCUUACACUUCGGAAAACGGCAUUUUUUGUUGUUUAGUAAAAUAGGUGAGAAUAAAUGCACAAAAAAGACAUGCUAAUCAGGUACAAUCGUGUCCCAGCAGCCUCAAAUUGCAAACACGUGUAAUGUAUGUCUCCAGCAUUCCCACUCAGGUUUGUGUGUUCAAUUACACACACACCUCCGUGACAUCACUUUUCAUGCAUUAUGUUGGUUUUUUUCGUUGUACUGUGGAAGAAUUUUUUAUUCUUCUGAUGUUGUCAGUCUUCUUUCUCUUUUUCUCAUCUUCGGUUAUCUUCUGUCACGAGAGAGACGCUACAUUCUUGAAGUUCUCCUUCAAUUGUUUGAGAUGUUUGGAGUACAGAGUCCAUUUCUACCUCUGCUUUUGUCCCCAUUGUCUUUCAUUAAGGAGGCACUAUUGAAUCAAUUGUCAUAUGUCGACCAAUGUACAGGAAGUUACAUGUUUGGAUAUUUUUGUCAAAUCGGGGAAAAGCACUUAUGACGACAAAGAUUUAUGGAGUGGUGACAUCUCAGAGGGAAUCUUCUUCUUUUGUCUAUUAUGUAAUUGGCUUCUCUCAUUGAGGAUGAAGAAUGUACUAUUUUCUAAUCUUUUACAACGUGUAAAUAUUAGUAAGUGUUAAAAACUUUAAACAAAUAGAAGUAUUUUCUUUGUAUUGGGACCUUUCAGUAAUUACUAACAUAAACAAUAAGGACGGGCAUAUGCCCGUGCUGAGCAUGGGCACGGGACGUCUAGUACUUUUUAUAUUAGAAACGGAAAAGGUCCAAAAAUACCCUUAAACUAUUGAAAAAGGCUCAUAAAUACCCUCCUUCCAUCUCUUGGUCUAAAAAUACCCUUCCAUCCACCUUUUAGGUCUAAAAAUACCCUUAAGGUUUGUUUUUGGCUCAAAUAUACCCUUUAAACUAACAGAAUAUGUUUUUUUGUUUUUUUAUCGGAAAAGGUCCAAAAAUACCCUUAAUCUAUUGAAAAAGGCUCAUAAAUACCCUCCUUUCACCUUUUGGUCUAAAAAAAUAUGAACGAAAUAUGUUUUUUUUUUGGGUUUUUUUUGCAUUUCAUGAAUAAAAAAAUGAAAUAGGAAAUUAUAAUUUUUUUUUUU
Lycium barbarum (goji berry) is the source of this 1117-nucleotide long non-coding RNA. RefSeq lists it as uncharacterized. The record is from RefSeq and is a predicted model, not a curated record. Lineage: Eukaryota; Viridiplantae; Streptophyta; Magnoliopsida; Solanales; Solanaceae. The transcript has 3 exons.